UAGUUAAGCAACGUUGAGCCUGGUCAGUACUUAGAUGGGUGACCACUUGGGAAUACCAGGUGCUGUAA
Acanthosepion pharaonis is the source of this 68-nucleotide non-coding RNA. The record is from the annotation of a GenBank genome assembly. NCBI's taxonomy places the organism in Eukaryota, Metazoa, Mollusca, Cephalopoda, Sepiida, Sepiidae.